Molecule: transfer RNA, 64 nt
Filed under: Clinostomum complanatum
Lineage: Eukaryota; Metazoa; Platyhelminthes; Trematoda; Strigeidida; Clinostomidae
Description: tRNA-Asp
Source: RNAcentral
ACAUAAUUAGUUUAAUAAAAGAAUGGCAGUUUGUCGUGCUGUUGGCGGGGUUACUCAUUAUGUG